Molecule: ribosomal RNA, 253 nt
Filed under: uncultured bacterium
Lineage: Bacteria
Description: partial 16S ribosomal RNA
Rfam family: Bacterial small subunit ribosomal RNA
Source: RNAcentral
UACAGAGGUCUCAAGCGUUGUUCGGAUUCAUUGGGCGUAAAGGGUGUGUAGGUGGCGCCGUAAGUCGGGUGUGAAAUUUCGGAGCUUAACUCCGAAACUGCAUUCGAUACUGCGGUGCUUGAGGACUGGAGAGGAGACUGGAAUUUACGGUGUAGCGGUGAAAUGCGUAGAUAUCGGGAGGAACACCGGUGGCGAAGGCGGCCCCCUGGUUGGAUACUGACGCUGAGACGCGAAAGCGUGGGGAGCAAACAGG